UAUAUAUAUAUGCUAUUCGGCUAACUAUUUAGCUAGCUACUAGCUAACCUAACUGAAGAUUCUAGUUUUCAGCUAAAGCCACAUCUUCGGUUGCUAAGCGACACACCAGUAUGAGAGUGAGCUGUGAGUAGCCUUGGUGUUAGCCUUAGGACAAGCAGACAGAGACACCUGCUGGACAGCAACACAAACAACCAUGUAAUCUAUUUCAGAAUAAAAGUCCACUGAUGUUUAUGGUCAAACAACACUUUAUUCACAAUUACUAUCAGCGCUCAGGUCUAUGGAAAUAUUUGCUAAAAAAAAAAA
Molecule: long non-coding RNA, 303 nt
Organism: Sebastes umbrosus (honeycomb rockfish)
Lineage: Eukaryota; Metazoa; Chordata; Actinopteri; Perciformes; Sebastidae
Exons: 2
Source: RefSeq, a predicted model, not a curated record